RNAcentral lists this ribosomal RNA (192 nucleotides) under Triticum aestivum (bread wheat). RNAcentral describes it as "partial small subunit ribosomal RNA". The record is from RNAcentral. Lineage: Eukaryota; Viridiplantae; Streptophyta; Magnoliopsida; Poales; Poaceae.
AUGUUGCGAAUGGGAUUAAUCGUUCCGAGUACCAGUCCUUUCUCUUCUCCGAUGCUCCUGGUCAAGAAAAAAGAUAUGACAUGGCGUUUCUGUGUGGAUUUUCGCCAUUUGAACGCGAUUACAGUGAAGUCCAGCUAUCCUAUGCCAGUUAUUGAUGAGUUGCUCCAGGAUCAUGUUGGUUCUCCAAGCUAG